CAAACCUUCCUACUGGCUCCAAGGGUGUCUUGUAUGAUUUACGGACGAUGCUGAUCACGUGCAUACUGUAGUUUAUGCGGAUGCUGUACGGAGGAUCGCUUGUAGGAUAUUCGCAAUGAACGAUGAUCUUACAGCGACGACUUCAAUGCCCAAAGCCGACAAUUUAACAGGAUAGAAGUCUGUAAACAGAAAAGACGAAAGUCAUUGACAUUGGCUGAUCAGCAAGUUACGACACAAUCCGAUCGACGCCAGGAAAUUGUUCAAGGAUCAAAGAUCCACGUGAAUCUCAGAAUUCGCGAGAGAUAUCCUCGAGUAAGCGAAACUAAAGAGGGACCUCGAGGAAUCUGUCUUGAUAAAGAAACAGAGAGGAAGCACUGGCAAAGAGGAAAAGCAGAGGAGAGCGCAGAGCAGCGAGAAGCGCCGAGACGCCGAGCGUCUCGAAAUAGCCUGGCAUAUCGGUGGUUUAAUAUCCGAAUGGUCACGCAACAAUGCAUACGAUGACCUCAAACUUAGCCGACCGCUUGCGAAACCGUCUCGUAACACCAAGAACUACACUAGAGUCUUUUCUCUACGUACCGUGGAUCCUUUGGUUAAUCGCACCGAUGAUCACGACCGUGGAUCGCACGAAAGAACUGUCAAUCCGUUCGUCUGCAGUCACGGGUACUAUUCAAACGUCAAAGAUGGCGUUGAGAAGUGAUUUUUAGUUUUACCGCGAGGGAGAGCCACUGCGGAAAUUCAAGUAACUUCGAACGUUUUAACGGAAACUUCUAAUUGACACACGUCGAUUCGCUCUGCCACAAUGAAGAAUCGUAUACUGGACUGUUAAAGGAUCAAAUUCCCAGUGAAUAAUACAUGAGUGCAAAGCCAAGUGCACAUCUAUGCAAAGUGUGAAUAUCCGUACUUAUGUGUAUGGGGUUAUGCGUCACUCGCUAUUGGACAGUCGGAACUGCAGUGUGAAGACCGUAUGAGGCCGUAUGUGAUUCGGCCGCGGAAAACAGUACGAGAGCCAUGCUAGUUGACAGAUGACAAACGUUGGAUAUCAUGAUUGGCCGUUUUCGAAAAUACAAGCAAAUCCCGAAUGAGCUCCGAGGCCGAUAGGCGUUAUCAGAAAUCGUCCGUAACUCGUGAACGACUGGUGAUAACGUGACGAAAAAAAAAAGUUAAAACGGCGAAAUUGUUUAGAAUCGACCACAAAAAGAAUGAAGGCUCUAUCGCAAUUGGAAGCCAAGAUAUAAAAUGGUGGUAUUUGGUAGCCCAAGGUGCGGCUCGGAUUCCACAACAGAGUCGGCGCAGACCGGAGUCCAGCCAGGAGCGAGCGGAACUUUCCACGAGCAAGUAUUUCCUACUCCUAGUAACAACCACACUCGACAUCAAUUUCCAUACAGACUGUAUAUGCAAAAACCUUAUUUUCGUUCUAUAAAAAAAUUUUCUAAUCCACCAAACCAAAUUGGACCAUAUUAAAACCAAAAAAAAAAAACGUCCCAACCCUAAAAAACCUAACCAAAGGAAAGCCUCACGUUAAUCGCCAGUCAAUUAACCCCUACAGGAAGUCCAACAAAGAGUAGCCAUUUUGGUACCACAAGCGGUACCAGAUGUCAAAAAUGCAGAUCAGCCCACGUGACCGGAUUGUCAAAAAAGAAAAAGAAUCCACCGAAAAAGUCUAAUCUCCAAAAUGAAGCGUGCAGCAUCCCUCCAGUACCAAAGGGUCAAAGGUCAUCGUAAGUCCAAUCGACAGCGAGAGGAAGGUGCAGAGGACCCAGAAGACACAGAAGGUCCAGCCGGUAGCCGACGAAGAGGAUGAACCUGAAGCAUCCAGGAGCGCCGUUACAAAAUUCAACUUCGUUUCGCCUACAUAGAGACACAGGAGUGCGCCUCUAUAUACCUUGUACCCCCGAUAGUAAUUCUCGUCUCCAUGGUAACACCCCCGAGGCGUCCCCCUGCGCCCCCCUGCGUCCACCCGCGCACACAGUCCUCGACCACCCCAACUCCAUAGGAGCGUCUAUCGAUCCGUCGACGCUCGACGUUCACUAUCAUUCGGAACUUUGAGGAAACUACUGGUUAACGUCGGAGACUCUGCGCUACGGCUGAAGUAACCAGCGAGAACGGUGCCAAUCAGUGUUACGUGGUUUGUUUCGUAACAGACUCGCGAUACGAAUAUACGCGAGUCGUGCUCCCGACACGCAAACGGCUACGAGAGAGUUUCAGAUUCAGAUGAAUUUAUUAUAUCGCCAAGACCAGAGUCAGGAUCCGCACCUGGUACCUGGGUUUAUCUCAAGAGAGCAAAAGGAGAAUGCAAACUCUUUAAACGAGAUAAAGAAGAGGAAGUAGAAUUCGUCUGGGCCAAUCUACAAAAUUAACACCCUCGUGGCAGCCGAUCAUCAUAAGGAUACCAUACGAGUCUAAUUAGAAAAGUUGCAUAUUUUUGUAAAUACUAUAAAAAAAAUAAUAUCAAUAAUGAUGAUUAGUAAUAUUAAUAAUUGAAUUGGCCCAAGAUUAGGUAAUUAUUUUUAAUUGAUAAUUUAAUGAAAAUUAUAUAUACAUACAUAUAGGCGAAGAUGAUCCAACGUUACUGUCAACGAGUAUCCUUCGUCCUGAAGUCCCGUCCCUUAAUCUUUGUGAGUAUAUUUGUCCGUUCGAGUAUUUCCGUAUAAUAAAAGUUCAUUGACCCUUGGGAAAAUUGUUACCGGAAUUCAACAAGUACACCAAAGUCUGUUUAGGAAUUGCGAAACGAUUCUCAUGUCCAUCUUCGGGCGAGCAGGGCUAAUCAAGUCCUUCUGGAGAUGACGUCUUAAGUAUCAGUUACAGAUUGACUUGGACCAGUGGGUUAUCAUCCUCCCAGAAAUACUUGGGUCUAUCCUGUUUAGACAUCCGUCUGUCAGGGCGUACCUUCAUGCCGACGCUUAAUAAAAUGAUGAGACAGACCGUCUGUCUGCGGUUCGCCGACCGACUGCCGAGUGUACAGGGACCACCGGAAGUGGCCCAUCACCGCCCCACAUUCUCAACUUCCGCUCUUGUCGCUCGCUCGAGCGUCGCUUCCACGACGACGAACCUCCCGUGGAAAGGACGCGUCGCCAAGGAAGAUCGUAACAAGACAAAAAGAGAAGAAGAAAAAAAAAGAUAAGAUCAGGGGGGGGUCAAAAUGGGGUAAUAACGAAAAAAAAAGUCCCUAAUUCAAAUAUAUUUGCAGAUUCACACCGGAGAGGAAUUUUGGUCCAUCCGAAGCAUCCCCAGUGAAUGGCGUCAUCGAGCAUCGACAGGAUUCAUUAUUACAGUGAAAAAAAGAAAAGCGACAGUCGACGGAGAAACCCAGGCAUAAAGGUGAAUGCACAACGGACGUAACGCAAAAAGGCGCCUAUAGCACGGCAAGCGUAAAGAUGGCGAGCGCCGGUGGAAGCGUCGUCGUCCCCUCUCCCCUGGCGUCCCUUUCACCGACGACAGGAAACAGUCUACCAGGGUACUACUUGGAAAGCUGGCGUCGAAAGGCGUCGCGACGGCAUUAUCGUUUCUCUACGUGGCUCGAUCGAUCGGCGACCUCCGAUUACAGAAAAGUGCCCCUUCGAAUUCUGCAUCGACUGUCUGCUCUCUUUUUACUUCCAGCCGCAGCGAGUGGUCUUAUAUGUGUCAUAUGUACGUCUAGCUUACUUAUUUAUAAGCGUAUACGGUGACAAGUGUAUACGUAUCUCUCUAUAUAUAUAUAUACAAUCUACAUACGUAAACGGUCAAGGUUCGCACAGCUCCAGUUCCUAUCUCUGGAUCCAGAUCGUUAUUUACGUACCGCUGAUUAUUUUCAGCAUUUUAGCAACGUUUCACGGAGGUUAUCUUAAGGCUUGGCGAACUCGAGGGCGAUCGGUUAUGUAAUACAGUAACCAUUAUGAAUAUUCAUAAUCGUCAGACACACAUACCUAUAUACAUAGAGAGAUAAGUAUCGUGAACAGAGUGUAGACAUAAAAUUAGCAUAACUCGUCCGCCAUUAGCAAUUACGAUUACCGGUAAAAUCAAAUAGUACUUAUGUGUCAUGAAUGGUCAAUACCAAAUAAAUUGAAGCGCACAAGAGUUAUGGGAAUGGGCUGAUGUGUUGUCGGGUAUAAGAUUUCAAGUCCUAAUUGUUAACGGUGUCAAUUGAUAUUUACAUUCUUAAUAAAGGUAGCGAUUAACAGUACCCAGCCCAAGACCCUUAAAUAUACAUUGGCCAGCCAUCUUGACGGCUAGCCAGAAGCAAAAUGGCCAAAGAGCCGGGUGCCACGCCGGCAGAGCCGAGGUCCGAGGGACUUCUGGUCGGAGGUCAUAGGCCAUCGUAAAACUUGGAUUUUUUGGUACACGUAGUCGAGGUGAGUUCGAGGGGGUGAACGGGAGGGGGAGGGGCGUGGCCUCGCAGCAACCCCUUGCCCUCUAGCAAACCCCUUUAAUUCGGUGUUGCGCGCGACAAUGCACCCCCGUUAAGCGAACGUAAGAAUUAUCACGAAUCAGGCUGUGCGAUUGGGGAUCUAUAGAUCCCUGGUAUGGUAUAGGAUUUCUUGAACGUGAUCCAAGCAGCGGUACCAGGCCGGUGAGCUUGAGUGUUUCUAUGGCGGCGACGUUAAUGGCACUAAGUAUAUGUAGUAUGACGUGGGGUUAUGUACGGGGAAGUAACACUCGAUGGUCAGUUUCGAAUAAUUACGCUAGAUCGCUUGAUUGAUUUAACAUGGCUAUUCGAGCGUUUCCUAGCAGUUCUAUCUUAUCGGAGACAGUUUCCCGGAAUCGCAAUAAAUCCUUCCAGCCACUGGGAAUGUUGUGUCGGUUUUAAUGAGCCUGCUCGACUUCUAUUUACCAGCAGUCGCCACGCGAGUGUAACAUAAGCACGAUCGUGGCGCGGAGCAGUGAUUUCCAUAGAUUUUGAAAAUCUUAUUAAUAAAUUCAAAUUCACGAAAUUUUGACCCACCGUUCGGAAACUCACAGAUCGAAUAAUAGGAAAAGGCAUUUUGACGUUUCUGUAGUAAGCACAUGUAGCUGCUAAUGGUUUUGAAAUCAUGGAAUUUGACACGUGCUCGCCACGUGGCCUGUGACGUUUACUGGACGUAGACUAAGGACAAUGUUUAUUGUCAAAACCAAGUAAAUACGUAUACCUGUACAUAGUCAUAACUCAUAGGCAUCACGGUAGUCGACCGUUCGAAGAAUCCAAAACUGUUAACCGUUUCAUAGAAAUGGAAUAAAGGCGAAAAAAUAAAAAAAAAAACAAAAGCAUGACCGUA
Molecule: long non-coding RNA, 5228 nt
Organism: Cephus cinctus (wheat stem sawfly)
Lineage: Eukaryota; Metazoa; Arthropoda; Insecta; Hymenoptera; Cephidae
Exons: 5
Source: RefSeq, a predicted model, not a curated record